AGCAAAAGGCAAUGGGUUGCUGAUAGUGUAUCCAAACAGUGCAGCCUGUACAUCCAAAUGCAUAGUGACAGCAGCUAAACAGAUGCUAGCAAAUAGAACGGUCCUGCCAAACAUGAGGGAGGUAUGUACAUUAUAGAGGGACGCCUCUUGUAUAUAAUAAUAACUAUGGAAACAAGAGGGCUGUGCCAUUGAUUCAGCACACCCCGCUUGGACAAGUUGGUGUAUAACGAUACAUUUUUACCCGUCUUACCCAUGCUGGUAAGGAGGGAAUGAUAGGAUAACAAAGGAAAUGUGGUGGCACUGCAUAUUAGGAAUGGCAACUUUAUUCAUUUGCAUGGGGUUGCCGACCUGUGUAAAAAGUUACAUGCUUGAGUUGUUUUACUGUUCAUGUUUUAAACUAUCUGUUAUGUUUAAACUAUUUAAAUAGUUGUUAUUUUAAUAUAUUUGAUUCCUUUUUAAUGCCUUUGGCAACAAAAAAAAAAAGCCUUCAAAAUGUCAUUGAGGGUGAGUCUGUAGAACACUCUGCCUGGCAAUUCCUGCAGUAGGUAGGUUGUUCAACCUUGUGAGAGACUACUCAGUCUGUCCUGGGGUUCUGGUAAAAGUAAGUCUGGAUGGAUAACGUCUCUCGGUAGUGAGUCUCAGUUGUAGGCAAGGUCCAAGAUGAACAAAUUUGGUUCUCUCUAUGUCGAAGGUAACAGAUUAAGAAUGAUGAGAAUGACUUGGAUUGGAAUUGCUCCUACUUUAGCAACACGUUGUAUUUGUUAAACUAUUAAAUAGAGGAUUGAUUUUGGUGAUACCAGUACUAUAUUCAAGAACAAGUGGUUGGGAGAUGUUUACACGAUAUGUAUUGGGAAUAUGACAACAUGUUUGAAGGGACUAACUGAGAAGUAUUACAUAUAAGCAAACUAAGUAAAAAAGAUGAGAAGGAAGGGAUAUUGAAUGAUUUUGUGUUUUAAAAAAAAUAAAUUUAAAAUCAGGAGAAAAUGCAGAUUUAGUUCUGUGGGCAAGGUGAGCUUGUAGGAGCAUAUCCGGAGAAUUAUGUGUCUUUAGCUCUCUGGCAUUGAGGAAAAUGAUAUAUACAUAUGUUAUUAAUCACAAAGCUAUCCAGGGGCUUUUGUUUGUGCUCGAGUUGAGGCUGGUAAAGGAUGGGAAAGCAGUUUAAGGAGAUAAUGCCAAGGGCCCAGUGUUAUAAAUAUUGCGUAGUAUUUUAGAUUUAUUUAGUAGGUGGAGUGAAGCUCUACCAACCACUGUUAAUAAGGAAAAAUGUGCACAUUUUAAUAUCUGACAGCAAUUCACUGUGUACACCACCCACAGGUAUCUGGGAUGGUGGAAAGAGUCAAUGGGGAUUGCAAAACAAAAUUACCCAGGAGAUCUACAUUCCCAGGUUGGAGGAGCUUUGCUGGGAGCCAUAAAAGCUAUACGAUGGGGGUGCUGGGACAAGAAGAAAUUGAAACUGUAUUGAAAAGAAACAACCAAGUGUUGUUAACAACAUGAACUGCUGUAAAGAUGAAAGAUCAUCAUCGCUGGAUACAUUUGAUUGACUGUGAACAGUUUGUGGAAACAAGGACGAUGGGCUAUUGAUGCUCCUUUAUUCUGGGGUGGCCCAGCCCACAUGGACUGAACUUUCUUCAGAAUGGCAAACUUGCGGACUAAAACACAUUUAAAGGAUGGUACACACCUCCUUUUAAACAAGAUUGAAGUCAAACAUGACAAGCGCAGCAAAGAUACCCUGACUACAGACAGUAAGAGGUCUGCAAAGGCCAGUUAAAUCUACCUGUUUUUGCCACAACCAAGGCACUGGUGUAUUUUAAGGAAACAGUAUGUUGGUGACAGGGCAUUGUUAUGUUGCAAAUGCAGUGUCACACAAGAGAAGCAUGAACCAGUUACACCAGCACACAGGGAAAUCCAAAUGAAGCCGAAUAAAGGCUGAGCAAUUUUUAUGAUCCUUUUCCUGUCCUAUGGUAGUAUCUUAGUGUCACGUCCGGGGGAGGUUGGUGGCCAUUUAAAAUGUUUGGAGGGACUUGUGAAACGAUUGUCCACUAUGAAUUGAUUGGGUUACUAGUGUACUAUUAAUUUGUCUGAUGAGAUGCUUAUGGUCUUUCGUAUGUACUCAGCAAGGACUGUAGUUGUUAUCAAAAUUUUGAUAAAAGGAUGGAAUGAUGAAGCCGAAUUUUAGUUAAAAAUAUUAAAUUGGUUUCUGGGCUAGCUUACAGCUUAUAUUUAGUGUCAAAUUAGGCUUUCCUCAGGUUGGGGGGUGUGAGAGAUAACAUUGUCUCCCAAGUGAAGGAGCUGGAGAGAAACCUUUGAAGUAGAGAUCAAAUAACCAAUGUUUAUGGGGAAGCAGGCAAUAAAGGAAGAGAGAAAUAAACAGUUGCAUCUUUGUAAACAAGUGACCUAUGUUUAUGAGGGACCAAAUGACAGAGGAAGCAGCGACCAGAGCAAGGGUGGUCUAUUUGGAGAUAAAACAAAUGGACAAUGUUUUUAGUAUAUCUUGUACCAUGUAAAAAAAAGGGUUUGAUGUGAUGCAUUCUGUGGAAACCUUUUCCAGUACUUCUGACCAUGACUAAUGUCUGUGGAAUGUGAUAAGGGGACAAAAAACCUAUUUAAAGCAAUGUAAUUCUGUUGUUCAGAGAAGAGGACUGGGGACAGUUGAGUGUCUACAUUGGUCACUUAGCUGGAAUCCUCGCUCCCUUCCAUCGGCCGAUGUUAAGUAAAGUUUUGAACUGGUCUACCAAAA
Long non-coding RNA from Leucoraja erinaceus (little skate), 2737 nucleotides. RefSeq lists it as uncharacterized. NCBI's taxonomy places the organism in Eukaryota, Metazoa, Chordata, Chondrichthyes, Rajiformes, Rajidae. The record is from RefSeq and is a predicted model, not a curated record. The transcript has 2 exons.